CUAGCUACAGGCUUAACACAUGCAAGUCGAGGGGCAGCAUGGUCUUAGCUUGCUAAGGCCGAUGGCGACUGGCGCACGGGUGAGUAACACGUAUCCAACCUGCCGUCUACUCUUGGACAGCCUUCUGAAAGGAAGAUUAAUACAAGAUGGCAUCAUGAGUCCGCAUGUUCACAUGAUUAAAGGUAUUCCGGUAGACGAUGGGGAUGCGUUCCAUUAGAUAGUAGGCGGGGUAACGGCCCACCUAGUCUUCGAUGGAUAGGGGUUCUGAGAGGACGGUCCCCCACAUUGGAACUGAGACACGGUCCAAACUCCUACGGGAGGCAGCAGUGAGGAAUAUUGGUCAAUGGGCGAGAGCCUGAACCAGCCAAGUAGCGUGAAGGAUGACUGCCCUAUGGGUUGUAAACUUCUUUUAUAAAGGAAUAAAGUCGGGUAUGCAUACCCGUUUGCAUGUACUUUAUGAAUAAGGAUCGGCUAACUCCGUGCCAGCAGCCGCGGUAAUACGGAGGAUCCGAGCGUUAUCCGGAUUUAUUGGGUUUAAAGGGAGCGUAGAUGGAUGUUUAAGUCAGUUGUGAAAGUUUGCGGCUCAACCGUAAAAUUGCAGUUGAUACUGGAUAUCUUGAGUGCAGUUGAGGCAGGCGGAAUUCGUGGUGUAGCGGUGAAAUGCUUAGAUAUCACGAAGAACUCCGAUUGCGAAGGCAGCCUGCUAAGCUGCAACUGACAUUGAGGCUCGAAAGUGUGGGUAUCAAAGAGGAUUAGAUACCCUGGUAGUCCACACGGUAAACGAAGAAUACUCGCCGGUUGCGAUAUACAGCAAGCGGCCAAGCGAAAGCGUUAAGUAUUCCACCUGGGGAGUACGCCGGCAACGGUGAAACUCAAAGGAAUUGACGGGGGCCCGCACAAGCGGAGGAACAUGUGGUUUAAUUCGAUGAUACGCGAGGAACCUUACCCGGGCUUAAAUUGCAGAUGAAUUACGGUGAAAGCCGUAAGCCGCAAGGCAUCUGUGAAGGUGCUGCAUGGUUGUCGUCAGCUCGUGCCGUGAGGUGUCGGCUUAAGUGCCAUAACGAGCGCAACCCUUGUUGUCAGUUACUAACAGGUUCCGCUGAGGACUCUGACAAGACUGCCAUCGUAAGAUGUGAGGAAGGUGGGGAUGACGUCAAAUCAGCACGGCCCUUACGUCCGGGGCUACACACGUGUUACAAUGGGGGGUACAGAGGGCCGCUACCACGCGAGUGGAUGCCAAUCCCAAAAACCUCUCUCAGUUCGGACUGGAGUCUGCAACCCGACUCCACGAAGCUGGAUUCGCUAGUAAUCGCGCAUCAGCCACGGCGCGGUGAAUACGUUCCCGGGCCUUGCAC
RNAcentral lists this ribosomal RNA (1355 nucleotides) under uncultured bacterium. Its description in RNAcentral is "16S ribosomal RNA". It matches the Rfam family "Bacterial small subunit ribosomal RNA", at positions 36 to 1386 of the family's 1533-position model. The record is from RNAcentral.